RNAcentral lists this long non-coding RNA (281 nucleotides) under Malus domestica (apple). Its description in RNAcentral is "long non-coding RNA (MDOM_LNC020152)". Lineage: Eukaryota; Viridiplantae; Streptophyta; Magnoliopsida; Rosales; Rosaceae. The record is from RNAcentral.
AGAGGCCGGCCACUUAGGGAAGAUUUAGCUAGCAAUCUUUUCUUCUCUAAGUCAUCCAUUUCAUCUUCACACCUCACCCUUGGUGUGGAGACUUAGAGACACCAAACCUUUGGUGUUUUUGGAGAUCCUUUUCUCACAUCCUCAAGGAGCAAAGGAGCACUAAAAGGGGAAAAAUCACAAGCAAGAUUCAAGGAGCUUGGAGGCGACUUGAAGGCCCUCGACUUGGGUGAAUCCCUUGUGUAAACAAGGAUGAGCUUCAAGGGUAAAGAAACUCUAAAUCU